This 253-nucleotide ribosomal RNA is filed under the name uncultured bacterium. RNAcentral's name for it is "partial 16S ribosomal RNA". It matches the Rfam family "Bacterial small subunit ribosomal RNA", at positions 524 to 776 of the family's 1533-position model. The record is from RNAcentral.
UACGUAGGGUGCGAGCGUUGUCCGGAUUUACUGGGCGUAAAGGGAGCGUAGGCGGAUUUUUAAGUGGGAUGUGAAAUACCCGGGCUCAACCUGGGUGCUGCAUUCCAAACUGGAAAUCUAGAGUACAGGAGGGGAAAGUGGAAUUCCUAGUGUAGCGGUGAAAUGCGUAGAGAUUAGGAAGAACACCGGUGGCGAAGGCGACUUUCUGGACUGUAACUGACGCUGAGGCUCGAAAGCGUGGGUAUCAAACAGG